Molecule: long non-coding RNA, 737 nt
Organism: Drosophila yakuba
Lineage: Eukaryota; Metazoa; Arthropoda; Insecta; Diptera; Drosophilidae
Exons: 3
Source: RefSeq, a predicted model, not a curated record
CCAAUACACAGCACGGGUUGAGCAGUUGACAAAAGCUUUAGAGGGUGCAUACAUAACAGACGGCAUACCCAUGGAGUUAGCGAGAAGUUAUUCAACUCAGCAUGCAGUUAAAGCAAUGACUAAAAAGUGCGCAAUAGAUAAGGUUAAUCUUAUCAUGCAAGCUGGUACCUUCCGUACAAUGAAUUAUGCCAUAUCAAAGUUCGUAAAUAGUUGCACAGAAGCAACUGGACCGGCAAACACAGUUCUCUACUAUAAAUAUUAUCCACAGCGUGGUAAAAAUCGUUGUCGUGGAAAUUUUAGAAGUAAGUCUCGCAAGAAUACCCAUAACCAUAGCCACUACAAUAAUGGUGGAAGAGGCCAAUCUAGAGGAAACCCUAGAGGCCAUCGGAAUUCAAACCGAGGCCAAAAUAACAGCACUCAAGGAAUGAGAAUGAUGACUAUAGCUUUCUCUAGACAACAUUCAGAAAACUGAAGAACGAAGUGUUUCCUUUUUACGAUAGGAAGAUUAAAAACCAUCUCAGCAGGCAACAGCCUACCGAAGAAAAGACGGCAAUAAAUUAAGAUGCCCAGGACUUUUUAUUUGUUAUUUUGCUUGACAGCGCGUUUCGUUAUUGAAAACGGAAGGACAACUAAGAAAUUCGCACGGCUGGUGUUGUUACGCAUAUGCAAUGUUUAGCACACAAUAUAUGUAAAGAUAAAAAAAUUUGUUGUUAUUUAACGUACAACAACGACAGCAU